AGUGAACGCUGGCGGUAGGCCUAACACAUGCAAGUCGAACGGCAGCACAGGAGAGCUUGCUCUCUGGGUGGCGAGUGGCGGACGGGUGAGGAAUACAUCGGAAUCUACUCUGUCGUGGGGGAUAACGUAGGGAAACUUACGCUAAUACCGCAUACGACCUACGGGUGAAAGCAGGGGACCUUCGGGCCUUGCGCGAUUGAAUGAGCCGAUGUCGGAUUAGCUAGUUGGCGGGGUAAAGGCCCACCAAGGCGACGAUCCGUAGCUGGUCUGAGAGGAGAAUCAGCCACACUGGAACUGAGACACGGUCCAGACUCCUACGGGAGGCAGCAGUGGGGAAUAUUGGACAAUGGGCGCAAGCCUGAUCCAGCCAUACCGCGUGGGUGAAGAAGGCCUUCGGGUUGUAAAGCCCUUUUGUUGGGAAAGAAAUCCAGCUGGCUAAUACCCGGUUGGGAUGACGGUACCCAAAGAAUAAGCACCGGCUAACUUCGUGCCAGCCGCCGCGGUAA
RNAcentral lists this ribosomal RNA (506 nucleotides) under uncultured bacterium. Its description in RNAcentral is "partial 16S ribosomal RNA". It matches the Rfam family "Bacterial small subunit ribosomal RNA", at positions 29 to 523 of the family's 1533-position model. The record is from RNAcentral.